RNAcentral lists this ribosomal RNA (349 nucleotides) under uncultured Desulfobulbus sp. RNAcentral describes it as "bacterial SSU rRNA". It matches the Rfam family "Bacterial small subunit ribosomal RNA", at positions 1035 to 1374 of the family's 1533-position model. Lineage: Bacteria; Pseudomonadati; Thermodesulfobacteriota; Desulfobulbia; Desulfobulbales; Desulfobulbaceae. The record is from RNAcentral.
CAGGUGCUGCAUGGCUGUCGUCAGCUCGUGUCGUGAGAUGUUGGGUUAAGUCCCGCAACGAGCGCAACCCUUGCCUUUAGUUGCCAGCAGUUCGGCUGGGCACUCUAAAGGGACUGCCGGUGUCAAACCGGAGGAAGGUGGGGAUGACGUCAAGUCCUCAUGGCCUUUAUGGCCAGGGCUACACACGUACUACAAUGGCCGGUACAAAGGGCAGCGACAUUGCGAGAUGGAGCGAAUCCCGAAAAGCCGGUCUCAGUCCGGAUUGGAGUCUGCAACUCGACUCCAUGAAGUUGGAAUCGCUAGUAAUCGUGGAUCAGCAUGCCCACGGUUCCGAAUACGUUCCGGCCUU